Brassica rapa (field mustard) is the source of this 4745-nucleotide long non-coding RNA. RefSeq lists it as uncharacterized. The record is from RefSeq and is a predicted model, not a curated record. NCBI's taxonomy places the organism in Eukaryota, Viridiplantae, Streptophyta, Magnoliopsida, Brassicales, Brassicaceae.
CCAAACAAUUCUCAUUUAAUUUGCUAUCCAAGUUUCCAAACGACAGAAUCUGUAAAUAAUAAAGAAAUACAGUGACUAAAUAUGUAAAUAAAAAAAAUUAAUCUGCUAUCAUUGUUUCCAAACAACUUUCAUUUAAUCUACUAUCUAAGUUUCCAAACAGUACCAAAAGGUACUUCAGUUUUAAUAAUAUAGAUACAAAAGGUUGAGUUUUAUAGAGUCUUAGGUUUGAUGUUGCCCAGAUGUGUUGUCUAAAGUAAUAUGGAACCAAUUGACACAAGACAAGAAGAAAUUCUUUAGUAUGGAAGAGGUUUUGCUAAGAGAUAACAACAAGUUAACAACACAGAUUUAUAGUUUCUUUGAGAACUAUAAGUCUUGCUGGUGUUAUCUUGCUAGGUGAGGUUCUCAUCUGUAAUUUCUACAGCUUUUUGUUGUUAAUUUGAAAGAAUUCUCGUCAAACUCAAAUUGAAAAACUAAACAUGAGUUAAUAAUGACUCAUGUUUCACUUUUGUUAAAAUCUGAUCAUGGUUUUGUUAUACAUGGUAACUUGAGAGGAAGGUUGGAUGUGAAGAUGAUGCUGGAGACGGUGGAGAAGAAGAAUCUCAGUGGCAGAUUCAUCUGUUGCAUUAACAUGGUGGAGAUUCAUCUCAGAAACAGAGGAGAUGAUAGCUUUGAUGGUUCAGCCGAUUGUUGGCAGUUACAAAGCCACUGAAAUCUGAUUUGAGCAACGAGAUAGGUGUGUCUGCAGAAGAGAAGGCAAUGGGAUCUUUGGACCGGCUAGAGCAAUUAUUGUAACGAGAAGGCUUGAUCAUCCUAUUGUACUGAAGAAGCUUCAUCAAUAUGUCUGGUUUCAUCUUCUUUUUACUUUUAUUUUGUAUAUAUAUAUAUAUAUAUAUAUAGAAAAUGAGCGUACAAGCCAAGCUGAUACAAAACAAAACUACAAAAAUAUGUACAACCACAAUUAAAGACUCAUAUGUACACUAAACAAAUGUACAUAUGUUUCACAAACCCUCCCACUGACCGUACAUAUGCUUUACAAAUCUUUCCAUUCUAAAUAGGAUUAAGCAACUAAUUUUCCUCCUUCUCUAUUAAGUUAGUGCAAUCAGAGAGAAAAAACUUGUUUUAGACAAAUGUAUUGGUUGCAUUAUUUCAGAAAUUUGUCUAUGCUACUAUUUUGUGCUAUGACUAUGUAAAUGUGUUUAGGAAUGUUUUUAUCAACAUUUUAUAUUUAUUUUUAGAUCUUGUUCUUGUAUUUGCAUAUUGCAACAUAUGUAUGGCCAACAUUAAUGUCCAUGUGUACACAUAGACCUCAUUAUCCACGUGUACGUAUCCACAUGUACACCGGUUUGUAAUAUCCACAACUUACGAUAUCCAUGUGUACACCAAUGUCAUGACUAAAAUAAUAUUUUUAAGCAGGCUUUCACUCAAUCCCUCAACAUAAGAAAAGAAAAAGAACUUACAAAAGCGUCAAAGCUUUUAUUCAUGGUGUCGGAGUGUCCAAAUUCUCCACCAUAUGGAGAUGAUGAUUCAUGGAUAACUAUCAAGAAAGGGGUGAAGGAGAGCUCGCGUCGGUUACGGCGGUGCUGUGACGGUUAUGGUGUUGACGAUGGAAGUACAGAUGAGGAAAUGGGUGGAUGUAAUUAUAGAACUGAACAAACCUUUGUCCCACGAGUCUAUGACCAUCAUUAACAAACCUUCAAACAAUUGAAAAACCAACACUUUUGCUAUGUCAUCUACGUCGUCGUCGAUGUCAGCCAACGUCUCCGCCGUCAUCUAUGUUCUCCCACUGUCGUCUAUGUCACCAUUUAACCAUCAUCACCAUCAUCAGACCAGCAUCUUGGUACAUCUCAAAAAAUAGAUCGAACAACAUAGAUAAUAAUUUGAAGUGAAUUAUGUUGGAAAAGAAAUCUGAAAAAGCAAAUCUGGAUGAAGAAAAGAGAGUGGGACCUACAAUAUUUUCUCAGUUAACAAAAUGUUUUAAAUUUUGUUAUAAUAGAACUAUGGUAUACUAUUUGAAAAAAAAAAAAGGUUAGUUUUGGAAUUUUGUAUGUUCCACAUGUGUGAUUUCUCGUGGAAAAUAGUGAAAAACUGCUCUAGUAAUUAUAAGUGUCUUAUAGUGUUAUAAAAAGUCAGAAAGUAACCUUGGGUGUAAUUGUUUCUUGCUAAAUUACAUAAUCAGUGGCGUUAUGAUUGUUUCCAUAUGAAGUUCUGAAAUACUAAAAGAUACCAUCAGUGUUUAUACAUUUAUACCAAAAUGUUUUAAAAUGGGAUUAUUUAUAGUGACCACCUCUACCGCAAAUUAGCUGAGGAUAAAAUAGAGUCGUCUCUCAUACCAUAUGAGUUAUGAAAUCGAUUGUUUUGUUGAAAGAAUUUACGGUAUCACAUGGUGGCUUAAAUCUUAGGGAUAUAUACUGAAUUAAAUAUAAACCAAGCUAUAUUAUGCUUGAUCUAGUAUUAUAUUACUAGCUAAAAUCCUUCAAAUUCAAUAUCAUUGUCAUUUUUUCCUUCUGACAUUAAAUUUGCUCUCUCAACUACAUAAUAUUUGUGAUAUGAUACGAUCUGUCUACUAAUAAAAUGCAUGUGUAAAUAAUAUGUGGCCAUGAGAAAACCUUAUAUUGCAAGAACUUAAGUUUAUAAAUUAUACUUAUGUUCCUGUAGAUAAGAACUACAUUAAAUGAAUAGACCAGAUUCAUAUCUCCUAGCCAGGGUCGGGCCUGAGAAAUUUUGGCCCAGAAGCAAACAAAUUUUUUUUGGCCCAUUAUCUUUAAAAAUCAGAAAAAGUGGCUAAAAAAAAGGUCUAGAGGAUCGAACUCUGCACCUCUCAUGCGCGUCACAGCGCUCUUACCAGUAGAACUAAUGUAACAUUUACAUAAUUGUUGGCCCUUUAAUAAAUAUAUAUCUUGUACGGCCCCAAGCACAUGCUUUAUGUGCCUCUACUCAGGCCCGGCCCUGCUCCUAGCCAUAUAGAACAUGAAGCGGCAAACGUAGGCUAAUUCAUGAAACGAAAACAAAUCCAUUUAAAUCCUAAUUUAACGACACAGGACGACAUAUCCAAAAUGCUGCCACGUUUGAAGUAUUCACACAUGCGAUGCAACAAAAGCGACGAUGACUCCUCUCCUGUUAAUUUGCUUGUACAAAUUAAAAUAGUACAAAUAUGCAUGCUCUCGUUUUCUUAUUAAUACGACAACUUUAUAGUAACAUAUUCAUGAACACUGGAGUUUAAUCUGUUAGUUAUGUUGCUACUCGCGAGGUAAUACCUAGUAUGUAUCACGUGCCAUUGUAAUUGUAAGAUGUUUUGAUCGAAUAUUAAUACAUACAUAUGAUCCUAUCCUAACCCACACCAUCGACUAAAAUAACAACCUUAAGAAGAAACAAGAGUUAAUUUGACGAAUUUUCUCAAGGUAUAUUAUCUGGUUAUCAUUACGUUUAUCCAAUAGAAUGAUAAGAUCAUCAUCGACGUAAAAGAACUUGAUUACAAACGUUAUCCGACUUGAAAGAAUCGCAUUUAGUAUCCUGAUGCAGUUAAAUUUGACGUGGCUAAUUCCUUAAACUUAAUAGUCGGAGACAAAAGCCCUUCUACACGUUGCGGUCGAUAUCCUCAUGAUUAUAACUAAUAUUUGCGUCCAAGAACUAGACAAUCAAACAAUAAAACAUAUCAUUAUCACCAUUAUAAGCUAAGCAAACUCCAAAAAAAUUAUAAUUGAUAAAAGAGGGAGAGAGUAAUGGGUCUUGUUUGUAAAACAGAAUUGGUUGCAUGAGAAAGAGGGAACUGUCGCAGCAAACGUAAUUGGGACAGUGGAGGAAUGUCAUAGUAUGAACGGUAUCUCUUUUGUUUUGUUUCCUCUAUUGUCUUUGUGACAUUUAUUGCAUAAAGUUAUAUAAGCCAUUAGUAUUUUGAUAUUUUUUCUGUUUUUAUUUGUUCGGUCCCCAUGUUAUGAAAAUGUUCGUGUAGAUUCUAGAUCACUCCACGCUAAGAUUUGAGAACUCAAUGGUGUUUUGUUGUGGCCCAAUAAUGACAUUCCCAUAUCAUAAUUGGUUGCAUAAUGAAAGUGUUCAAUCAUCUCAAGAUGCUCAACAGAUUGUGUGUUGGUGAUUGGCUAGUGGCUAGGGACCCAUUGGGUUACAUGAAAUGUUCAAGCAGAUUGGGGUUCAAAGUCCUUAGGUUCACAAUUAUAAAUUUUUAUUUCAAAAAACAUUAUAAAUUAAAGCAAAAUUAAUCUAUUAAAAGAUAUUAUGGUACGUAUGGUAGGUACAUUAAUCAAAAAUCAACAGCCCAAACCGGAUCUGAAGUUUCGAUGAUGAGCAACCAAUCUCAAUUCAUUCUGGUUAUGCAUAGAUCAAUUCAAAAGAAUCUAUCUACGUGCAUCUUGCCAAUCGAAACCACAAAUAACCAAAACGAGACGUACAAGUUAGUUUUUCAGACCUACACCAUGUAUGCUUAAGAUUGGCAUCUCUUCCUCAGAGAGAUUACACACUUAAUAUUUGUCUUGUAAAUGAGAUUCUUUGGGUUAUUACUCAAAAAUAUAAUAUAAAGUUUCUGAACUUCUCAAGGCACAAGACGCUACUAAAAGACAGCUCAAUCAUAGUAGAUAAUAGAAUGACGCACAACACUGAUAAAGAUUCGUCCCCAAAGAUUUCAGCAACGGUCUUUGCUUCAGUAGCGGUUACCAUAUGGAGAAGGAGGCAUGUUGUUCUGAGGUCGAUAUGGUUCUCUUGGUCUUGCAUACUCUGCAAAUAUGACCCACCCG